Molecule: long non-coding RNA, 534 nt
Organism: Drosophila serrata
Lineage: Eukaryota; Metazoa; Arthropoda; Insecta; Diptera; Drosophilidae
Source: RefSeq, a predicted model, not a curated record
CGAAUUAAAAGUUUUAGUUUGCCAUCGGCGGGCAGAGCUCUUAGUCGUCAAUAUUACAUCAAACUAACGGUGCUUACGUGCCACACGACGCACACGAACACACAACGCCGCCUUCACCUUGAAGUGCCUGUCAAAUUGUUAGAAUCACUUCCUAUUUAUUUGUCGUUAUUUUGAACGGAACUUCUUACACCGCGAGAGCGAAAAAUAGUGGUGUCAAGGUAGCCUGCAUACAGGCAAGCGGACGGCAUACAAUUAUCACGUGUUUGACUCUGGCCACAAUUUUGUAGCCAACGAUCACGCGCGAUCCAUUCUCACUCUCUCCCAGCCACUCGUACUCGCGGACCUGGCUGAUUUUAGAUUUUAAUACGUCCGACUGGGCUCUCCCGCGAUGUUCUCACUACAGCAGCUGGUCCGAGCGGCGGCAUCUACGCCAAACGGAGGCAGUGAUCUCUACAGGCUGCUUCGGCACCUGGGCAACGCGACGGCAGCAAACACGACCACAAGCACAGCGGCAGGUACAGCUAGAGCUAUACC